AGGCGAGUAGCGAAGAGGUUAAACGCAACUGACUGUAAAUCAGUUCCCUUCGGGGUUCGGCGGUUCGAUUCCGUCUUCUCCCACUA
RNAcentral lists this transfer RNA (86 nucleotides) under Paenibacillus thalictri. RNAcentral's name for it is "Paenibacillus sp. N2SHLJ1 tRNA-Tyr". It matches the Rfam family "tRNA". Rfam says of the family: Transfer RNA (tRNA) molecules are approximately 80 nucleotides in length. Their secondary structure includes four short double-helical elements and three loops (D, anti-codon, and T loops). Lineage: Bacteria; Bacillati; Bacillota; Bacilli; Caryophanales; Paenibacillaceae. The record is from RNAcentral.